CUACCUGCAGUCGAACGAAGUAUAUUUUCGGAUAUGCUUAGUGGCGGACGGGUGAGUAACNCGUGAACAAUCUGCCCUGUACACAGGAAUAGCCUCGGGAAACUGGGAUUAAAACCGGAUAACACUUUCUGGCCGCAUGGCCGGGAAGUCAAAUUGAUUUAGAGGUACAGGAUGAGUUCGCGUCUGAUUAGCUAGUUGGUGAGGUAACGGCUCACCAAGGCUACGAUCAGUAGCCGGCCUGAGAGGGUGAACGGCCACACUGGAACUGAGACACGGUCCAGACUCCUACGGGAGGCAGCAGUGGGGAAUAUUGCACAAUGGAGGAAACUCUGAUGCAGCGACGCCGCGUGAGUGAAGAAGGUCUUCGGAUCGUAAAACUCUGUCCUUGGUGACGAAAAAAUGACGGUAGCCAAGGAGGAAGCCCCGGCUAACUACGUGCCAGCAGCCGCGGUAAUACGUAGGGGGCGAGCGUUGUCCGGAUCUACUGGGCGUAAAGGGUGAGUAGGCGGUAAUAUGUGUCAGAUGUAAAAGGCUAUGGCUUAACCAUAGUUGGCAUUUGAAACUGUAUUACUUGAGUGCAGGAGAGGUAAGUGGAAUUCCUAGUGUAGCGGUGAAAUGCGUANAUAUUAGGAGGAACACCAGUGGCGAAGGCGACUUACUGGACUGUAACUGACGCUGANUCACNAAAGCGUGGGUAGCAAACAGGAUUANAUACCCUGGUANUCCACNCUGUAAAC
RNAcentral lists this ribosomal RNA (737 nucleotides) under uncultured Sedimentibacter sp. RNAcentral's name for it is "bacterial SSU rRNA". It matches the Rfam family "Bacterial small subunit ribosomal RNA", at positions 51 to 807 of the family's 1533-position model. Lineage: Bacteria; Bacillati; Bacillota; Tissierellia. The record is from RNAcentral.